RNAcentral lists this unclassified non-coding RNA (261 nucleotides) under Funneliformis mosseae. Its description in RNAcentral is "partial contains 5.8S ribosomal RNA and internal transcribed spacer 2". The stretch from base 1 to 71 matches the Rfam family "5.8S ribosomal RNA", at positions 84 to 154 of the family's 154-position model. The record is from RNAcentral. Lineage: Eukaryota; Fungi; Glomeromycota; Glomeromycetes; Glomerales; Glomeraceae.
GUGAAUCAUCAAAUCUUUGAACGCAAAUUGCACUCCCUGGUAUUCCGGGGAGUAUGCCUGUUUGAGGGUCGUUAGAACAAAAAUCGAAGCGUCGCUCUUUUUUUUAAGGGUGACCGCGUCGGAAUUGAGCCGUCUUUCCAAUGUUAAUUCAUGUAAAAUUGCCUUAAAAUUCAUCCAUCCGAUACGUUUAAAGCGUAUUUAAGAUCAAUUUUGAUUAAUAACGCUCGAUGAACGUCCCAUCUCAUGUAGUACGUUUGUCCU